RNAcentral lists this long non-coding RNA (3112 nucleotides) under Callithrix jacchus (white-tufted-ear marmoset). Its description in RNAcentral is "lncRNA (ENSCJAG00000085280.1)". The record is from RNAcentral. Lineage: Eukaryota; Metazoa; Chordata; Mammalia; Primates; Cebidae.
GUCUGGAUGGCUAGGCCUCCCUUCCGCUGGGGUCAAGUCCCCACCCCUGAAUGUAAUGAACUAAGCAUAGGUUAAUCUCCUGCAGGCCGAGGACCAUGCUGGGCACGGCAGAGAGGCAGAGGGUGUUCAGAGCAGCCUCUCCUUUCAUCAGCCUGUGGAGAAGAGGAAGGGAAAAUUGUGUUUACAGUUCUGCCUCAUGCUCAGCCCUGUGCCAGGGCAUCACUGAGAUUUUAUUUCAUGUGAAAAACACUGCUCUAACCUGGUGUCAUUCUUUCUGUUUUAUAGAGAAAGAAACUAAGGCUCAGGGAUGCUCCAUAAGUGGCCCAAGCCAUGGCUGAGAGAGGGUGGGCCAGACGUUUAUAAAGGAGGAUGAUGAAACCCAGCCCGGCCCCUGUGACGCUCUUGGUUUUGAUCCAUGGCAUUAAAGCAAGGUGCUGGGAUGAUCUAGAAGAGCUUAAGAGGCUCUCAUCUCCCAGUCUGAAGACUUGGUCUUUCUCCUUCGAGGUUACAGUGGCUGAUGCAGCUGGGCGAGGAGCAGCUCUUGGGCCUGGGAGGGGAACUUCUCACUACUGGGAACUCCGACUCCACACGGCUGAAGAAGCUGGAAAUGGAUCUCUAUGGCUUUGAGCCACUGCAGUUUCAAAUCUGCUGAUGACAGUGGCUGAGCCUACGCUAACACACACAGAAGUUCUGCCAACAAUAAUCACUCUGGGACAUAACCACAGACUGUCUUUCACUGAUACAUACGUGAGGUGCGUGUACCUGCAAUAGCUUCACCUAAAUUCUAAGGCCUGGAAGAGAAGGGCCGCUUAUGCUUCAGUAUUUAGGACAGCAUUUGCCCUUAGUUAUGAAAGCAUUUGUGUAAGUUCUGGGUUCCUUCUUCCUUAAAUGCUUGAAAGGUUUCACUGGCAAACUUUUCUGGCCUGAAUUUGUGGGUGUGAAGGUUUUCAAUCACAUACUUAAUUUCUCUAAUACUUAUUGAAAGUAAUCUGAUUUGUUUGAUUACGCCACUCUAAAGCACAAUCUUUAAAAAGCUGGACUUUUCUGGGAAUCUGUCUGUCUUAUGUAAUUAUUCAAAUUCACUGACUGACGUAAUUGUUCUGUUAGAGGUUUUAUGAGCUGCAUGGUCUGUACCGAUGUUGCCUUUUUUGUUAUCUUGGUAACUGAAAUAGUCUUUCUUUCCUUUUUCAAAAAAUCAGUCUCUCCAGGGGUUAAAGUAUUUAUUUAAUUAAUUAUUCAUUUAAUGUUUUAAGAAGCAACUCUUGACUUGAUAACUGUCUCUACUAAGCACUUGCUUCUAUUUCACUAAUUUCUGCUUGUGUACUUAUGUUGUUUUCUAAUUCUUGUAUUGAAGCACUUAGCAUGGUUCCGGGUAGAUAGUAACUUCCCUGUAAAUGUUAGCAUCACUACUGUAAAGAAAUGUCUCAAUUCAGGGUGUCUGUUGUACGAUAUUAUUAAACAUGAGAACUUCUACAACUUCUCUGGUGAUGAGAUCUUAGAAAACAUUAAAUCCAUUUGUCCCAUUCAAACUCUUACUAUUAUCAUUAUACACUUAAGUCUGUGUGUAUUUGAAAGCAUAUAUCAUUAUUAAUGUGUAAAAUUAACAUUUAUAUUUAUUAAUAUGAAUACAAGAUCCAAUAUAAAUGUAUUAAUAUAAUAUGGAUUUGUAUAGAUUUUUUAUUACUUAUUAUUCCUUCUGAAAUCUUUAUGUUUCCACCUGGAGAUAUAAUCCUUCUGCUGAAAAAUUCCGUUAAGUACUUUACUGACUGUGGAUCUUCCAGUAAUGAAUUAUCUCCAUUCGUGUGUAUCUAAAGAUGUUUUACUUUCACUUUCAUGUCUGAAGCAUUUGGCAGUAACUUUCUUUUACUACUUCGGAGUGGUCAUCCGUUGUCUCCUAGCAUCUGUUGCUCUGUUGAAGCAUUAGCUAAUUGCAUUAUUGUUGUUUCUUUGGGAGGAAAUUGUAUUUUUUUGUUGUUGUUCUUAAGUUCUAGUAUUUGAUAGUAUAAUAGGAAAAUUACAGAAAAUAUAAUACAAUACAAUUUUUAGUAAAUAUAAUACAAUUUUUCUCUAAUUAUUUUGAAAUAUAGAAUAAAUAACAAUAUAUUUAAAUAUUAUAUUUAAUAUGUAAUAUUAAUAUUUGAAAAAUAAUAUAAUAUUUGAAAAAUAAUUAUAGUUUUCAAAAUAACUAGAAAAGAAAAAUUGUAAUGCUCCCAGUACAAAGAAAAUAUACAUACCUGAGGUGGUGGAAAUCCCAGAUACACUGAUGUGGUUAUUACACGUUCUGUGGAUGUGUCGCAAUCACAUGUAUCCCCAAAUUGUGUAUAACUAUGAUAUAUCAAUAAAAAUAGGAAAAACUUAAAAAUAAUGCUUUUAUAACUGCUUUUUAGUAAUUUAGGUUUGAGGUGAUGGGGUAUCUUUUAAAAAAGUCUUUCUUGGGCUGGGCAUGGUGGCUCAUGCCUGUAAUUACAGCACUUUGGAAGGCCAAGGCAGGUGGAUCACCUGAGGUCAAGUGUUUGAGACCAGCCUGGCCAACAUGGUGAAACCUCAUCUCUACUAACAAUACAAAAAAAAAAAAAAAAAUGAGCUGAGUGUGGUUGCAUGAGCCUGUACUCCCAGCUACUCAGAGAGGCUGAGGCAGGAGAAUUGCUUGAACCUGGUAGUACACAAAUGUUGCAGUGAGCCAAGAUCAUGCCACUGCACUCCAGCCUGGGUGACAGAGGGAGACUCCAUCUCAAACAAAAACAAAAACAAAAUUAUACAUACAUAUCUAUAUAUCUAUCUAUAAUCUAUAUAUCUAUAUCUAUCUAUCUAUCUAUCUAUCUAUCUAUCUAUCUAUCUAUCUAUUUUGGAGUUCUUUCUUUCUUCUUCUUUUUUUUUUUUUGUUUGAGAUAGAGUCUUGCUCUGUCACCAGGCUGGAGUGCAGUGGCAUGAUCUCAGGUCACUGCAACCUCUGCCUCCUGGGUUCAAGCAAGUCUCCUGCCUCAGCCUCCUGAGUAACUAGAACUACAGGUGUGCACCACAAAGCCCAGCUAAUUUUUGUAUUUUUAUUAGAGACGGGGUUUCACCAUGUUGACCAGGAUGGUCUCGAUCUCUUGACCUCGUGAUCUACCUG